RNAcentral lists this ribosomal RNA (688 nucleotides) under uncultured eukaryote. RNAcentral describes it as "SSU rRNA". It matches the Rfam family "Eukaryotic small subunit ribosomal RNA", at positions 69 to 769 of the family's 1831-position model. The record is from RNAcentral.
GCAAUCUAUACGGUGAAACUGCGAAUGGCUCAUUAAAUCAGUUAUCGUUUAUUUGAUAGUACCUUACUACUUGGAUAACCGUGGUAAUUCUAGAGCUAAUACAUGCUAGAAACCCCGACUUCGGGAGGGGUGUAUUUAUUAGAUAAAAAACCAACGCCCUUCGGGGCUUCUUGGUGAUUCAUGAUAACUUAACGAAUCGCAUGGCCUUGCGCCGGCGAUGGUUCAUUCAAAUUUCUGCCCUAUCAACUUUCGAUGGUAGGAUAGUGGCCUACCAUGGUAUCAACGGGUAACGGGGAAUUAGGGUUCUAUUCCGGAGAGGGAGCCUGAGAAACGGCUACCACAUCCAAGGAAGGCAGCAGGCGCGCAAAUUACCCAAUCCCGACACGGGGAGGUAGUGACAAUAAAUACUGAUACAGGGCUCUUUUGGGUCUUGUAAUUGGAAUGAGUACAAUUUAAAUCCCUUAACGAGGAACAAUUGGAGGGCAAGUCUGGUGCCCGCAGCCGCGGUAAUUCCAGAUCCAAUAGCGUAUAUUAAAGUUGUAGAAGUUAAAAAGCUCGUAGUUGAACCUUGGGUCUGGCUGAACGGUCCGCUUCACCGAGUGCACUGAAUGGGUAACCUGUAUACCGGAGAGACGUAUGCCCUUCCUGGAUGUGUCGUGGAUUAGGAUUUUUACUAUCUUGAAAGGGA